This 405-nucleotide ribosomal RNA is filed under the name uncultured bacterium. Its description in RNAcentral is "partial 16S ribosomal RNA". It matches the Rfam family "Bacterial small subunit ribosomal RNA", at positions 28 to 526 of the family's 1533-position model. The record is from RNAcentral.
GAUGAACGCUGGCGGCGUGCCUAAUACAUGCAAGUCGAGCGCAGCGGGGACGGGUGAGUAACACGUGGAUAACCUCCUAUACGUCUGGGACAACUUCGGGACACCGGAGCUAAACGGGAUACUCAUAUAUGGAUCCGCGCUGCAUUAGCUAGUUGGUAAGGGAACGGCUUACCAAGGCAACGAUGCAUAGCCGACCUGAGAGGGUGAUCGGCCACACUGGAACUGAGCCACGGUCCAGACGCCUACGGGAGGCAGCAGUAGGGAAUCUUCCGCAAUGGGCGAAAGCCUGACCGAGCAACGCCGCGUGAGUGAUGAAGGUUUUCGGAUCGUAAAACUCUGUUAUUAGGGAAGCGGUACCUAAUCAGAAAGCCACGGCUAACUACGUGCCAGCAGCCGCGGUAAUUC